AAGGAACAUCUGAGAGUCUGAUAUGGGACUUGCUGUGUCUGAGAUACUUUUAGAUACUGGAGAAGUAGUUGGACUUAUGAGUGUGAGCUUCAGGAGAGAGGUCCAGGCAAGAGAUAAAAAUUGUGAUCAUCCAUGUCCAGAUGCUACUUAAAGUCUCGAGAUUGAAUAAGGUCAUAAAGGGAUUAGAAGAAAAUAUAAACGGCAAGGAGAAGUGAUUAGAGUCCUGAGCCCUGGGGCCUCCAUUGUGAAGAGACACACGAGAUAAGGAGGAAGAAGUCAAGGAGACUGAGGAGUGGCCUGAUCUACUGUCCUGGAGGCAAACAUCAAGUGACGAUUUUGCUGUGCUGGGAUCUGAAAGGGGACGCGGGUUCUCAAUCUCUGGUCGGGGAACUAAGAUCCCACAUGCCAUGGGGCAACUAAGCCUGCAAGCCACAACUACUAAGCCCGUGAGCCACAACUACUAAGCCCGCGAGCCACAACUACUGAGCCUGUGUGCCUCAACUAGAGAGCCCCGCAUGCCACAAACUACAGAGCCCAUGCUCUCUGGAGCCUGUGCACCGCAACUACAGAGAGAAAACCCACACGUCACAACUAGAGAGAAGCCCGCGCCGCAAUGAAAGAUCCCACAUGCUGCAACAAAGAUCCCACCUGCCGCAACUAAAGACCUGGCGCAGCCUAAAAUAAAAAAAAUAAAUAAAAUAAAUAGGAUUAAAAAUGUGUAGAGUGAAAAUCUUCUGUCCCACCCCUGUUCUCCCAAUCAGGUGGUUUUCCUUCCAGGAAUGGU
Long non-coding RNA from Balaenoptera ricei (Rice's whale), 784 nucleotides. RefSeq lists it as uncharacterized. The record is from RefSeq and is a predicted model, not a curated record. Lineage: Eukaryota; Metazoa; Chordata; Mammalia; Artiodactyla; Balaenopteridae. The transcript has 3 exons.